GGCACUAUAGCCAAGUGGUUACGGCGACAGAUUCGAACACACAGUACUAUCUGUUCCUCUUUGAGGGCGCAGGUUCAAAUCCUGCUGGUGUCG
RNAcentral lists this transfer RNA (93 nucleotides) under Leucogyrophana mollusca. RNAcentral's name for it is "tRNA-Ser". It matches the Rfam family "tRNA". Rfam says of the family: Transfer RNA (tRNA) molecules are approximately 80 nucleotides in length. Their secondary structure includes four short double-helical elements and three loops (D, anti-codon, and T loops). Further hydrogen bonds mediate the characteristic L-shaped molecular structure. tRNAs have two regions of fundamental functional importance: the anti-codon, which is responsible for specific mRNA codon recognition, and the 3' end, to which the tRNAs corresponding amino acid is attached (by aminoacyl-tRNA synthetases). tRNAs cope with the degeneracy of the genetic code in two manners: having more than one tRNA (with a specific anti-codon) for a particular amino acid; and 'wobble' base-pairing, i.e. permitting non-standard base-pairing at the 3rd anti-codon position. The record is from RNAcentral. Lineage: Eukaryota; Fungi; Basidiomycota; Agaricomycetes; Boletales.